This 113-nucleotide ribosomal RNA is filed under the name Salmonella enterica subsp. enterica serovar Enteritidis. The record is from RNAcentral. Lineage: Bacteria; Pseudomonadati; Pseudomonadota; Gammaproteobacteria; Enterobacterales; Enterobacteriaceae.
UUCGGCAGUAGCGAGGUGGUCCCACCUGACCCCAUGCCGAACUCAGAAGUGAAACGCCGUAGCGCCGAUGGUAGUGUGGGGUCUCCCCAUGCGAGAGUAGGGAACUGCCAGGC